AGCUUUGCGCAGUGGCAGUAUUGUAGCCAAUGAGGUUUAUCCGAGGUGCGAUUAUUGCUAAUGGGAAACUUUUCCCAAUACCCUGCCAUGAUGACUUGAAAUAUAGUCAGCAUUAGCAAUUUUUGACAGUCUCUGCAGAGA
RNAcentral lists this small nuclear RNA (141 nucleotides) under Saimiri boliviensis boliviensis (Bolivian squirrel monkey). RNAcentral's name for it is "U4 spliceosomal RNA (ENSSBOG00000000406.1)". It matches the Rfam family "U4 spliceosomal RNA". From Rfam's summary of the family: U4 small nuclear RNA (U4 snRNA) is a component of the major U2-dependent spliceosome. The structure of U4 snRNA from yeast and human has been reported. The record is from Rfam by way of RNAcentral. Lineage: Eukaryota; Metazoa; Chordata; Mammalia; Primates; Cebidae.